Sorghum bicolor (sorghum) is the source of this 1562-nucleotide long non-coding RNA. RefSeq lists it as uncharacterized. NCBI's taxonomy places the organism in Eukaryota, Viridiplantae, Streptophyta, Magnoliopsida, Poales, Poaceae. The record is from RefSeq and is a predicted model, not a curated record. The transcript is spliced from 2 exons.
ACCGCCGCAAUCAUUGCGAUCCCCUCCCCCUGCUCUCUCGUGCCUUCCCCUCCGUUCUAAUCCUGCCCAAUGCGGAAGCAAGAGUUCUGCUCGCUCACGUCCCUCCCGCAUCAUCCAAUCCCCGCACAAUCUCCUCUGGUUACUAAAAAAAUCCAGAUUCUCGAGCGCUUCCGAUCUCCAUCGGCCUCGGGUCCUCCAAGGUCACACUCUCGCCACCCGCUGGCCUCUCUCCUCCAAGGUCGUGCUCGCCGCCGGCCAGCCUCGCUCCUUGCGCGUCCCCGUUCUUCGCCCUCCCUAUUGCACUCACACCAUCGCCAUCGCCCUCGCCCUCGCUGUUGCACUCCGCAGCCGUCCUCUCCAAGAGACCAAGACCCCAGUGACCGAGUCAAUCUCGUUGUUUGCGUCUCCACAGCAAGGGGAACUCACAGAUGCACACGCCGAGACCGCGACCUCCCGCUACACCGACGCAUUGGCCAGCCGUUCUGCUUCCCCGUGCUGCCCGCACUUGGUCCGCGAUUGAAGCGUGCGGCUGGGGCAGGUGGGCAGAGCGGAGGAUUAGGGUGGCGGCGGCGGCACCAGCGCUCCCUUCCCGCACCGCACAAGAAGAAGAGGCCACCCUCUAGAUCUCCGCUCGAACCCAGCUAGGCCGUCGGCGGCGGCCGGGCGGCAAAAUCCGGCACACCGUACAACAAGGGCGUCUCCAUGUCUACACUGAACGCCACUUGGAUCUCAGCCUCACUCCUGAACAAUUUCCUCAUCUUGGAAGCAUGAAGAUAGCUGGCAGAAAGGAACAAAGACGCUGCAAGGAUGGCUGGUUGGCUCCAUUAUCUUAGUGAUGAAAAGAGGUUUCCAAAAACAAGACAGGUUGAAUUUGAUCUUGUUCUUGGUUCAAAUGGCAAGCAGUUCCGAACCCGCAGUAUUGAGGUUGUUCGAUUUGUAAAGUUACUUGAUGAGGCUAAAUCUUAGAGCACAUCAGAAUUACUAUAGUUGCUCACUGAAAAUGACAAAUUGGACUAUUUUGGAACCUUAUCUUUAUCCUCCAGGUGACUAUGAUAUUAUUUUUUGUUCAGGCAAAAUUGUGUUAGUGUUUGUAAUUUAUGUUAGUGCUUCUUUUAGUAAAUUAGCACAUGUGAAGUAAGACAAGAUAGUGCUUGUGUUAGUGUUGUUAGUGAUUAGCUUGUUUAUUUAUCAAUGCAUCUCACUAGCUUGGUUGUGGUUGACAUGAUCAUCCGCCGUAGGACUACCUAUAUUUGAUUUGCAGCUUGUGUUUGGUUUUAGCUAUUGUUUUUAUUUGCUCCCUUUUACUAUCAACAUUUGACCUAAUUAGAAUGCCUACUACCACCAGGAAACUAUAACAGAGAUAUUUUUGAUGAAAUAUAUUGUUCUGUAGUUUUAGUGGUCAGGUCUGGGUUACGUGACCCCAAGGGUAACUAAGUUUUAGUGGUGGUGCUCGUGUGAUUACUUGUGGGUUUGAGUUUGUCAUCUUUGUAUUUGAGCGUCAUGGUGUUGAAUGCUUCUUAUUGCCUAUAUAAUGUGUAAAGAUUAAGACGAAUUUUCUUGUC